GGAGGCGCCCGGCCUCGCCGGGGCAGCCGGCUCAGGCGGCCCUCGCUCGGCAGAGGGCGUCCCGCCUGCGGCUAGAGCGGAGCCGGGAGGCGUCUCCGGCGUUUCGCAGCUGGGCUGGGGAGGAGCUGCGGUUGUCGCCGCUCGCUCCUGCCACGUCCACCGGGCGCAGGCGAGCCUGGCAGCGGCUGGGGGCGCCAGCACGUGCGCGCCGGAUCAAGGAUAUCUGACACAUUCUGGAUUUAAUCCUUGAAAAGUGCAAUUCUGUAUGUGUCUACUCUGAAGCAAAGCAAACUGAAUUCAGUGGGGCACUCUCAGAUAAAUGGGAAUAGGACUGCAGCCUAGACGCCUGCUUGUUGUAAAAUGAACUAAAACUAAAGAUUUAUAUGUGCUCCAAAUUACUGAAUAAAGGUAUGUGAAUUAGCUGCUGUUCAGAUUGUCAGUUUGAUCUGAUUCAUAUUGCCACUGUGAUUUGGAUGAGCAAAGCAGUUCAAUCUGACACACUGAAUUUCGGUUCAGAUCAAUUUGAUUUAGAAAAUGAAUUUUAAAAUCCAAGGGAAUCACCUUCCCAUUGAAUUUCUAAAUUGAAUCUUUGCACAGCCCUCCCUCCUAUCAGGGUCCACCAAGGGAGCUACGCGUAGCAUUAAGGCCUGUUGAAAGCUGUUAGACCUAUAAGCCAUGACUAUGAUAAUGGUUCAUAGCUCAUGGCCAAGCCAUGGUUUAGCUUAUUGGCACUAUCUCUGGCUCACAUUCUGUCUGACCUUUCACAUUCUCUGUUCUUUUUCUUUUCUUUUUUUACCAUAAUUACUAAUUACUGUAACCAUAGUCUGUUACAACAUCCAGAGGAAAUCCUGACAGGGAUUAUCUGCUUUUAGUUACUACAAGCACAGUAAUUACGAUUUGCUCAAAUUGGGAAGACGUGGAGAAUUUCUGCUCCAGGAAGUAAGAUUAAAACAAUGCAAAACCAGAACAUACAAUGCAUCCUUAACCCACCCCAUCAAUCAACAGCAACAACAUCCGUGAGGAAGAAAAUCAUCCCUCCAUCCUGUUCCCAAAAGCUUUCCAAAAGACAUGAAUGUCUGUUUGCUUGUGGUGCGAGCUAGUUUUUGGGACAAAGCAAGCCUUUAGGAACAGAACCAUAGAAAGAGAACCUCCAGCCAAAGGUGUUUAUACAGGAAUCCACCCAAAGCCAAAAGGGACGAGGUUGACCGGAAGAGGCAUAUCCUGGUUGUGCCCUUGACACCUCUUCGGUUUGGUUUCCUUGACAAGAGACCCAGGGAGGAAGGAGAAUGAGACAGCUUAAAGGGAAGCCCAAAAAAGAGACGUCCAAAGACAAAAAAGAGAGAAAGCAAGCAAUGCACGAAGCCCGUCAGCAAGUCACAACUGUGGUGCUUCCCACCCUGGCUGUGGUGGUGCUUCUGAUUGUGGUAUUCGUUUAUGUGGCAACCCGCCCCAAUACAACUGAAUGACAUGGAUUUUGAACUCUACCCCUUGGGUGGGCUUGCCUGCUCUUUUGCCAAGGGCCCAAAACAAAACAAAAUCUCCCCCCUCCCCAAGAUAUCCUUUUCUAAUCAUCCUGUUAUUAAUAAUCCUUUCACAAAGGAGUCCUCUUUCUCUGACUUGAUUCACAGUCUACAGUUGCUCUUGUGGAAUGUCAGAUAGGAAAUACGUGCUCCAGGGGCGCAAAGUAUGUUUUACUGUCCAGCAUAUGUGCCUUUUAGACCUCAACAGUCUCUUGCUCAGUCAUGAAAGUGGAUUCUGUUGCUCUUGGAGAGUUGUAUGAAUCAGCUUUGAGCCCUCCAGUUUUUCAGCAGCAUACCUUGUGUCAAGUUCUUGUACGUUGGCUUCACAGCUGCCAAAGAAGUGGAUUUUCCCCUUCCUUUGUGACUAUAUAAUGGCAUUUGAAAAUCUUUGAUUAAAAAAAGUAUUUAUUUUUGGAAUAAAGAAAACACAUCUUACAUAAAAA
Molecule: long non-coding RNA, 1963 nt
Organism: Candoia aspera
Lineage: Eukaryota; Metazoa; Chordata; Lepidosauria; Squamata; Candoiidae
Exons: 4
Source: RefSeq, a predicted model, not a curated record